RNAcentral lists this ribosomal RNA (726 nucleotides) under uncultured bacterium. Its description in RNAcentral is "bacterial SSU rRNA". It matches the Rfam family "Bacterial small subunit ribosomal RNA", at positions 28 to 776 of the family's 1533-position model. The record is from RNAcentral.
GACGAACGCCGUCGGCAUGCCUAACACAUGCAAGUCGAACGGAGAUAGCAAUAUCUUAGUGGCGGACGGGUGAGUAAUGGAUGAGUAAUCUGCCUCAUACACUGGGAUAACACAGAGAAAUUUGUGCUAAUACCGGAUGAGACCACACUACCGCAUGGUAGAGGGGUCAAAGGGCUUUACUGGUAUGAGAUGAGCUCAUCUCCCAUUAGCUAGUUGGUAAGAUAACAGCCUACCAAGGCGACGAUCAGUAGCCGGUCUGAGAGGAUGAACGGCCACAUUGGGACUGAGAUACGGCCCAGACUCCUACGGGAGGCAGCAGUGGGGAAUAUUGGGCAAUGGGGGAAACCCUGACCCAGCAACGCCGCGUGAAGGAAGAAGGCUUUCGGGUUGUAAACUUCUUUUACCAGGGGCGAAGAAAGUGACGGUACCUGGAGAAAAAGCCACGGCUAACUACGUGCCAGCAGCCGCGGUAAUACGUAGGUGGCAAGCGUUGUCCGGAAUUACUGGGUGUAAAGGGAGCGCAGGCGGGAGACCAAGUCAGCUGUGAAAACUACGGGCUUAACCUGUAGACUGCAGUUGAAACUGGUUUUCUUGAGUGAAGUAGAGGUUGGCGGAAUUCCGAGUGUAGCGGUGAAAUGCGUAGAUAUUCGGAGGAACACCGGUGGCGAAGGCGGCCAACUGGGCUUUAACUGACGCUGAGGCUCGAAAGUGUGGGGAGCAAACAGG